GACGAACGCUGGCGGCGUGCCUAAUACAUGCAAGUCGAGCGAACCCGGGGUGCUUGCACCCUGAGGGUUAGCGGCGGACGGGUGAGUAACACGUGGGGAACCUGCCUUGCUGUCUGGGAUAACACCGGGAAACCGGUGCUAAUACCGGAUGUCCCCUUUCCGGCACCUGCCGGAGAGGGAAAAGGCGGCUUUGAGCCGCCGCACCAAGAGGGGCCCGCGGCGCAUUAGUUAGCUGGCAGGGUAACGGCCUCCCAAGGCGACGAUGCGUAGCCGACCUGAGAGGGUGAUCGGCCACACUGGGACUGAGACACGGCCCAGACUCCUACGGGAGGCAGCAGUAGGGAAUCAUCCGCAAUGGACGAAAGUCUGACGGUGCAACGCCGCGUGAGUGAUGAAGGUUUUCGGAUCGUAAAGCUCUGUUGUGAGGGAAGAAUAGGAUGGGGCGGAAAUGCCCGAUCUGUGACGGUACCUCACCAGAAAGCCCCGGCUAACUACGUGCCAGCCGCCGCGGUAA
This 514-nucleotide ribosomal RNA is filed under the name uncultured bacterium. RNAcentral describes it as "partial 16S ribosomal RNA". It matches the Rfam family "Bacterial small subunit ribosomal RNA", at positions 28 to 523 of the family's 1533-position model. The record is from RNAcentral.